GGGUAAUCUGAAGAAUUGUUAUCAAAGCAUACAAAUGGAUAUUCAUGUACAAACAAUGUUUGAAUAAUCAAAUAAAUAAACAAGAUUAGCUUUGGGAAAAGUCCCCAGACCCUAGGACAGAAAGUGUCGCCCGUAAUGGUAAUGUCUUAGUUUGUGCCACCCUGACAAAGAAGGUAUAUUUAAUUACUCGAGUCUUGUGAAUCAUCUUAAGUCAAUGGUCGUAGUAAAAGGCUAAUACAAUUAAGUUAAAAGAUCAAAUUCUAUACAAAUUGUAAUGAAUUUUAAAUCUUUAAUCUCUACUUAAUGGGGCUUACUCUCUUGGUUACC
This 327-nucleotide RNase MRP RNA is filed under the name Dictyostelium purpureum. Its description in RNAcentral is "RNase MRP". It matches the Rfam family "RNase MRP". Rfam says of the family: RNase MRP is an enzymatically active ribonucleoprotein with two distinct roles in eukaryotes. In mitochondria it plays a direct role in the initiation of mitochondrial DNA replication. Lineage: Eukaryota; Evosea; Eumycetozoa; Dictyosteliales; Dictyosteliaceae. The record is from Rfam by way of RNAcentral.